CCUACGGGAGGCAGCAGCAGGGAAUCUUGCGCAAUGGGCGAAAGCCUGACGCAGCGACACCGCGUGGGGGAAGAAGGCCUACGGGUCGUAAACUCCUUUUCUCGGGGAAGAAGCUCUGACGGUACCCGAGGAAUAAGCCUCGGCCAACUACGUGCCAGCAGCCGCGGUAAUACGUAGGAGGCGAGCGUUAUCCGGAUUUACUGGGCGUAAAGAGCGCGUGGGCGGCUCCUCAAGUUAAGUGUGAAAGCUCCUGGCUUAACCGGGAGAGGUCAUUUAAUACUGAGGGGCUUGAGGGCAGCAGAGGGAGGUGGAAUUCCCGGUGUAAUGGUAAAAUAUGUAGAUAUCGGGAGGAACACCGAUGGCGAAGGCAGCCCCCUGGGUUGACACUGACGCUCAUGCACGAAAGCGUGGGAAGCAAAC
This 420-nucleotide ribosomal RNA is filed under the name uncultured bacterium. Its description in RNAcentral is "partial 16S ribosomal RNA". It matches the Rfam family "Bacterial small subunit ribosomal RNA", at positions 338 to 773 of the family's 1533-position model. The record is from RNAcentral.